Molecule: ribosomal RNA, 462 nt
Filed under: uncultured bacterium
Lineage: Bacteria
Description: bacterial SSU rRNA
Rfam family: Bacterial small subunit ribosomal RNA
Source: RNAcentral
AACGAACGCUGGCGGCGUGCCUAAUACAUGCAAGUCGAACGAGAAAGUGGCUUCGGCCAUGAGUACAGUGGCAGACGGGUGAGUAAUACAUGGGUAACCUGCCUCCAAGAUGGGGACAACCUUCCGAAAGGAGGGCUAAUACCGAAUAAGACCACAAUGACAUAUGUCGUAGGGGUUAAAGGUGGCCUCUAUUUAUAAGCUAUCGCUUGGAGAUGGGCUCAUGCACCAUUAGCUUGUUGGUGAGGUAACGGCUCACCAAGGCUCUGAUGGUUAGCUGAUCUGAGAGGUUGAUCAGCCACACUGGAACUGAGACACGGUCCAGACUCCUACGGGAGGCAGCAGUAGGGAAUAUUGCGCAAUGGAGGAAACUCUGACGCAGCGACGCCGCGUGGGUGACGAAGGCCUUCGGGUCGUAAAGCCCUGUCGGAAGGAAGAAAUACGGUAAUGGCUAAUAUCCAUACC